GGGUAACGGGGUGUUAGGGCACGACACCGGAGAGGGAGCCUGAGAAACGGCUACCACAUCCAAGGAUGGCAGCAGGCGCGCAAAUUACCCAAUCCCGACACGGGGAGGUAGUGACAAUAAAUAACAAUACGGGGUUCUUUAGGAUCUCGUAAUUGGAAUGAGUACAAUUUAAAUCUCUUAACGAGGAACAAUUGGAGGGCAAGUCUGGUGCCAGCAGCCGCGGUAAUUCCAGCUCCAAUAGCGUAUAUCAAAGUUGUUGCAGUUAAAAAGCUCGUAGUUGAAUUUCGGGGUUAGUAGGUUGGUCAUGCCUCUGGUAUGUACUGGUCUCACUGAUUCCUCCUUCCUGAUGAACCUUAAUGCCAUUAAUUUGGUGUUUUGGGGAAUUUGGACUGUUACUUUGAAAAAAUUAGAGUGUUUAAAGCAAGCUAACGCUUGAAUACAUUAGCAUGGAAUAAUGAAAUAGGACGUUCGAUCCUAUUUUGUUGGUUUCUAGGAUUGACGUAAUGAUUAAUAGGGAUAGUUGGGGGCAUUAGUAUUCAAUUGUCAGAGGUGAAAUUCUUGGAUUUAUUGAAGACUAACUACUGCGAAAGCAUUUGCCAAGGAUGUUUUCAUUAAUCAAGAACGAAAGUUAGGGGAUCGAAGACGAUCAGAUACC
Molecule: ribosomal RNA, 655 nt
Filed under: uncultured Glomus
Lineage: Eukaryota; Fungi; Glomeromycota; Glomeromycetes; Glomerales; Glomeraceae
Description: SSU rRNA
Rfam family: Eukaryotic small subunit ribosomal RNA
Source: RNAcentral